GUUGAACGCUGGCGGCAGGCCUAACACAUGCAAGUCGAACGGUAACAGGAAGAAGCUUGCUUCUUUGCUGACGAGUGGCGGACGGGUGAGUAAUGUCUGGGAAACUGCCUGAUGGAGGGGGAUAACUACUGGAAACGGUAGCUAAUACCGCAUAACGUCGCAAGCCCAAAGAGGGGGACCUUCGGGCCUCUUGCCAUCGGAUGUGCCCUGAUGGGAUUAGCUAGUAGGUGGGGUAACGGCUCACCUAGGCGACGAUCCCUAGCUGGUCUGAGAGGAUGACCAGCCACACUGGAACUGAGACACGGUCCAGACUCCUACGGGAGGCAGCAGUGGGGAAUAUUGCACAAUGGGCGAAAGCCUGAUGCAGCCAUGCCGCGUGUAUGAAGAAGGCCUUCGGGUUGUAAAGUACUUUCAGCGGGGAGGAAGGGAGUAAAGUUAAUACCUUUGCUCAUUGACGUUACCCGCAGAAGAAGCACCGGCUAACUCCGUG
RNAcentral lists this ribosomal RNA (490 nucleotides) under uncultured bacterium. RNAcentral describes it as "partial 16S ribosomal RNA". It matches the Rfam family "Bacterial small subunit ribosomal RNA", at positions 28 to 507 of the family's 1533-position model. The record is from RNAcentral.